GCGNAAGGUGGCGGAAUUGGUAGACGCGCUAGCUUCAGGUGUUAGUGUUCUUACGGACGUGGGGGUUCAAGUCCCCCCCCUCGCACCA
Molecule: transfer RNA, 88 nt
Filed under: Escherichia coli
Lineage: Bacteria; Pseudomonadati; Pseudomonadota; Gammaproteobacteria; Enterobacterales; Enterobacteriaceae
Description: tRNA-Leu
Rfam family: tRNA (bases 7-79)
About the family: Transfer RNA (tRNA) molecules are approximately 80 nucleotides in length. Their secondary structure includes four short double-helical elements and three loops (D, anti-codon, and T loops).
Source: RNAcentral